Molecule: non-coding RNA, 125 nt
Organism: Brachypodium distachyon (stiff brome)
Lineage: Eukaryota; Viridiplantae; Streptophyta; Magnoliopsida; Poales; Poaceae
Source: Rfam
CAUAUACUCCCUCCGUACCAUAUUAAUUGUCUCAAAAUUGUUCAAAUAUGGAUAUAUCUAUACCUAACAAACGUUUAGAUACAUGUAAUAUUUCGAUAAUUAAUAUGGGACGGAGGGAGUAAUCG